CUUUAUUUUAAAGAUCCCGAGAGAGGCUGAACAGAUCUCAGGAAGAGCAGAAACAGCACCACAGUAAUCUCGGAAACCAGCAGCCUCACAAACUAUGUUUUCUGUGAAAAGCAGCAUCUUAGUAGCCACAGAAGAGGGCAGAAUGGGUUCGGACUCUCCAAAAUACCCUAUGCCCAAAGAAGUAUUAUUGUUUGAGUCAUAUGGAAGCUCCCUGGAAGAGAACCAUUCUCAAGGCUUGUCUUUAUUUGACCCAACUCAGAGUUCAGACCUGUGGGACACCAUCAAGUCACCAACAUUUACAUAAUGGGAGUCCCAGAGGAGAGGAAUGAGAGCAAGAGACAGAGAGAAAAUCUAAAGGAAUAAUGGCUAAAAACAAAUUUGAUUAAAAACAUUAAUCUAGCCAUACAAAAGUCUGACAAACUCCAAGAAGGACAAUCUCCAAGAGAUUCACACCUAGAUGCAUUAUAGUCAAAUGAUCAAAAGCCUAAGACAGAAUCUUGAAAGUGGCAAGAGAGAAGUGACUCAUCAUUUACGAGGGAUCUCCAUGGGGUUAACAGCUGACUUCUCAUGAGAACCCAUGGAGGUCAGAAGGCAGUGGGAUUCCGUGUCCAGAGUCUUGAAAGAGAGAUUGCCAGCCAAGAAGUUUAUAUCCAGCACAAGUAUCCUUAAAAAAUGAAGGUGAAUUUAAGACAUUCCCAAUCAUGUCUUCUUUUGACUUCUUCAGGUGCUUUAGAAUAUGAUCUCUUUCAGCGUUGACUCCACUCCAGUGUUCUAUACACUGCCACCUGCAGAGAGGAUAGAUGAAGGACACACAGGUGGAGGAAGAUGGAAAGUCUCUUGUCUUGGAUGGUUGAAGACUAACCUGAAAGAAUAUGAUGUCACCACAUCCACCAGAAUCAAGAGAAGACAUUGAUAAGAAGGGCUUAUUGGCAUGGUGGAACCAUUAUCUCUAAAGCUGUUGAAGGAGAUGGCCCAGCCUUUCCCAGAGGAUGGUGUGACAUGUGGUGCGGAGCUUGCAGAAAGCAGAGAUGCUAAUGGUGGGGGAGCAUGGGUGGCCCCACUGUCCUUGGGUGCUGUAGACUGAAGAGAGUACCAUGGAUGAACACAGAUGGAUGAGAGCUGACACAUGAGCCCAAGGAUUGGUGAUGGACCUUUGGUAGGCCGAAGCCCCAAACUCAUCUUGUGUCUGACAGGAGUGAAUGUCACCAAAAGAAAUAUGAUGAUACCAUCCUGAUCACCUAACCUUCUGUAAUCCCGUGAAAGAAACACUGCAUUGACUAACAGAAGCAAUCCUCUUACCAGGCUGCCCUCCUGGAACCAGGACCCACCUAUGGUUGCCUGUGACAACCACAUUGCUCUGAGUCUAGAGCUGUCAGGGAAUCUGUUAAUCCCACAUACGAGGUAGAAGGUCUGUGAGGUCCCCAAAGGGAAGAAACAGAGAACAGGGCCUUUGCAAGUCCUAGUCCAGGCUUGGGGUACUCCAUCUGGAUGACACUGCUAGCCUCCCUCACCACAGGUCUUACGCAUGAGAGAGGAGGUACUGGCCCCCUUGAGGUGUGAGGCCUGCCCAGGACAGGGCCCUGCUGGCUCUGAUCUUAGGGUGCUACUGUUCUCACAUUCACUUCUCCCUGCUAGCUACCUUGACGGUUAAGUGUUCCUUGGUUUAAAUGAUUUCAGAGAGGGAAUCUGGUUGUCCUAGCUAAUCACUUUUGCUCUAGCCCAGUAGUACUCAGAGUAUGGUCUGAGGACCCCUGGGGUCUGAGACUCCUUCAGGGGAUCUGUAUGGUUAAAACUCUUUUCGUGAUAAUACUCAGAUUUCAUUCGCCCUUUCCGUAGUGUUGACACCUCAAAAACAGUGGUGGAUAAAACUGCUGGUGCCUUGGUACAGGUCAAGGCAAUGCCACCAAACCAUUGUAGUGGUUUCUCACCGUAUUUUUCACUACCACAUACUCACAUUUGGAAAAAAAAAAAAACAACUCAGUUUCACUAAAGAGUAUCUUUGAUGAAGCAGUAGAGUACUGAUUUUAUUAAACCUUGACUUUUGA
Molecule: non-coding RNA, 2045 nt
Organism: Leptonychotes weddellii (Weddell seal)
Lineage: Eukaryota; Metazoa; Chordata; Mammalia; Carnivora; Phocidae
Source: RefSeq, a predicted model, not a curated record